GGUGGCUCAGUGGUAGAGCACUUGCCUUGCAUGCACAAGGCCCUGGGUUCGAUUCCUCAGCACCA
Non-coding RNA from Dipodomys ordii (Ord's kangaroo rat), 65 nucleotides. The record is from Rfam. Lineage: Eukaryota; Metazoa; Chordata; Mammalia; Rodentia; Heteromyidae.